RNAcentral lists this ribosomal RNA (172 nucleotides) under uncultured bacterium. RNAcentral's name for it is "partial 16S ribosomal RNA". It matches the Rfam family "Bacterial small subunit ribosomal RNA", at positions 335 to 524 of the family's 1533-position model. The record is from RNAcentral.
ACUCCUACGGGAGGCAGCAGUGGGGAAUAUUGCACAAUGGGCGAAAGCCUGAUGUAGCAACGCCGCGUGAGCGAUGAAGGCCUUCGGGUCGUAAAGCUCUGUCCUCAAGGAAGAUAAUGACGGUACUUGAGGAGGAAGCCCCGGCUAACUACGUGCCAGCAGCCGCGGUAAU